This 424-nucleotide ribosomal RNA is filed under the name uncultured bacterium. Its description in RNAcentral is "bacterial SSU rRNA". It matches the Rfam family "Bacterial small subunit ribosomal RNA", at positions 355 to 775 of the family's 1533-position model. The record is from RNAcentral.
UGAGGAAUAUUGGUCAAUGGGCGCAAGCCUGAACCAGCCAUCCCGCGUGCAGGAAGACGGCCCUAUGGGUUGUAAACUGCUUUUCCAGGGAGAGAAACCUGCGCACGGGUUUCGCAAUUGACGGUACCCUGGGAAUAAGCAUCGGCUAACUCCGUGCCAGCAGCCGCGGUAAUACGUAGGAUGCAUGCGUUAUCCGGAUUCAUUUGGUUUAAAGGGUGCGUAGGCGGACUAUUAAGUCAGUGGUGAAAGCCUGCAGCUUAACUGCAGAACUGCCAUUGAUACUGAUAGUCUUGAGUUUGGUUAAGGUAGGCGGAAUGUGUAAUGUAGCGGUGAAAUGCUUAGAUAUUACACAGAACACCAAUUGCGUAGGCAGCUUACUGAGCCGACACUGACGCUGAGGCACGAAAGCGUGGGGAUCGAACAG